AGAGUUUGAUCCUGGCUCAGGACGAACGCUGGCGGCGUGCUUAACACAUGCAAGUCGAACGGUAAGGCCCUUCGGGGUACACGAGUGGCGAACGGGUGAGUAACACGUGGGUAAUCUGCCCUGCACAUCGGGAUAAGCCUGGGAAACUGGGUCUAAUACCGAAUAGGACCACAGGACACAUGUCCUGUGGUGGAAAGCUUUUGCGGUGUGGGAUGGGCCCGCGGCCUAUCAGCUUGUUGGUGGGGUGAUGGCCUACCAAGGCGACGACGGGUAGCCGGCCUGAGAGGGUGUCCGGCCACACUGGGACUGAGAUACGGCCCAGACUCCUACGGGAGGCAGCAGUGGGGAAUAUUGCACAAUGGGCGAAAGCCUGAUGCAGCGACGCCGCGUGGGGGAUGACGGCCUUCGGGUUGUAAACCUCUUUCACCAUCGACGAAGGUCCGGGUUUUCUCGGGCUGACGGUAGGUGGAGAAGAAGCACCGGCCAACUACGUGCCAGCAGCCGCGGUAAUACGUAGGGUGCGAGCGUUGUCCGGAAUUACUGGGCGUAAAGAGCUCGUAGGUGGUUUGUCGCGUUGUUCGUGAAAUCUCACGGCUUAACUGUGAGCGUGCGGGCGAUACGGGCAGACUUGAGUACUGCAGGGGAGACUGGAAUCCCUGGUGUAGCGGUGAAAUGCGUAGA
This 681-nucleotide ribosomal RNA is filed under the name uncultured bacterium. RNAcentral's name for it is "bacterial SSU rRNA". It matches the Rfam family "Bacterial small subunit ribosomal RNA", at positions 8 to 694 of the family's 1533-position model. The record is from RNAcentral.